RNAcentral lists this unclassified non-coding RNA (344 nucleotides) under soil metagenome. RNAcentral describes it as "partial contains 5.8S ribosomal RNA, internal transcribed spacer 2, and large subunit ribosomal RNA". The stretch from base 1 to 120 matches the Rfam family "5.8S ribosomal RNA", at positions 35 to 154 of the family's 154-position model. The record is from RNAcentral.
GAUGAAGAACGCAGCGAAAUGCGAUACGUAAUGUGAAUUGCAGAAUUCAGUGAAUCAUCGAGUCUUUGAACGCACAUUGCGCCCCUUGGUAUUCCGAGGGGCAUGCCUGUUCGAGCGUCAUUUCAACCCCUCAAGCUUCGGCUUGGUGUUGGGCCGCGCCGCUGCACCAGCAGCUGGCGGGCCUCAAAAUCAGUGGCGGUGCCGUCUCGGCUCUAAGCGUAGUAACAUCUCUCGCUCUGGAGACCUGGCGGUGGCUUGCCAGACAACCCCCAACUUUCUUUAAGGUUUGACCUCGGAUCAGGUAGGGAUACCCGCUGAACUUAAGCAUAUCAAUAAGCGGAGGA